RNAcentral lists this ribosomal RNA (253 nucleotides) under uncultured bacterium. RNAcentral describes it as "partial 16S ribosomal RNA". It matches the Rfam family "Bacterial small subunit ribosomal RNA", at positions 524 to 776 of the family's 1533-position model. The record is from RNAcentral.
UACGUAGGGACCAAGCGUUGUUCGGAAUUACUGGGCGUAAAGCGCGCGUAGGCGGCUUUGUAAGUUAGAGGUGAAAGCCCGGAGCUCAACUCCGGAACUGCCUUUAAGACUGCAUCGCUAGAAUUGUGGAGAGGUGAGUGGAACUGCGAGUGUAGAGGUGAAAUUCGUAGAUAUUCGCAAGAACACCAGUGGCGAAGGCGGCUCACUGGCCCGGUACUGACGCUGAGGUGCGAAAGCGUGGGGAGCAAACAGG